Molecule: ribosomal RNA, 549 nt
Filed under: uncultured bacterium
Lineage: Bacteria
Description: bacterial SSU rRNA
Rfam family: Bacterial small subunit ribosomal RNA
Source: RNAcentral
UGGGGAAUAUUGGACAAUGGGCGAAAGCCUGAUCCAGCCAUGCCGCGUGUGUGAAGAAGGCCUUUUGGUUGUAAAGCACUUUAAGUGGGGAGGAAAAGCUUAUGGUUAAUACCCAUAAGCCCUGACGUUACCCACAGAAUAAGCACCGGCUAACUCUGUGCCAGCAGCCGCGGUAAUACAGAGGGUGCAAGCGUUAAUCGGAAUUACUGGGCGUAAAGCGCGCGUAGGCGGUUAUUUAAGUCAGAUGUGAAAGCCCCGGGCUUAACCUGGGAACUGCAUCUGAUACUGGAUAACUAGAGUAGGUGAGAGGGGAGUAGAAUUCCAGGUGUAGCGGUGAAAUGCGUAGAGAUCUGGAGGAAUACCGAUGGCGAAGGCAGCUCCCUGGCAUCAUACUGACACUGAGGUGCGAAAGCGUGGGUAGCAAACAGGAUUAGAUACCCUGGUAGUCCACGCCGUAAACGAUGUUUACCAGUCGUUGGGUCUUUUAAAGACUUAGUGACGCAGUUAACGCAAUAAGUAGACCGCCUGGGGAGUACGGCCGCAAGGUUA